This 85-nucleotide microRNA precursor is filed under the name Medicago truncatula (barrel medic). RNAcentral describes it as "MIR2617 microRNA precursor family". It matches the Rfam family "MIR2617 microRNA precursor family". Lineage: Eukaryota; Viridiplantae; Streptophyta; Magnoliopsida; Fabales; Fabaceae. The record is from Rfam by way of RNAcentral.
AUGUGAUGUGACAUGCCCGUUUGAAUUUUACUCUGAUAUUGAAUUAUUAUUUAAUUGAUUUUGGAAAACGGGGUGUUACAAAAUU